Long non-coding RNA from Acinonyx jubatus (cheetah), 4684 nucleotides. RefSeq lists it as uncharacterized. The record is from RefSeq and is a predicted model, not a curated record. The transcript is spliced from 8 exons. NCBI's taxonomy places the organism in Eukaryota, Metazoa, Chordata, Mammalia, Carnivora, Felidae.
GAAGGAGCGCGGCGCGGGCUCGCCUGGGCACCGGGGCCCAGGCCGGGGGGGGGCGGUCAGUGCCGGCCGUGUAGGUGGGAGGCGCCGGGGGGUGUAGCGGGCCACUAGGCCCUGGAGAACCACUGAGCUGGGGGCCGGCAGAGCUGGGACACCGCCCCCGGGUUCCGCCGUGGGGGCGGGGGCGGCGAGACCCCUCCCCCUUUUGUCUUAGCACCCCGGGCUGGCCAGGAGCAGUCACCGCCUCUUCCUUCCCGAGGGGGCAGUCGAGGCACACGGGAUACAAGCAUGUGUCCUGGAAUUGUGGAAGAGGCAGAGCUAGGAUACGAACCUGGGACAUGUGGCUCCUGGCCCGCACUGCGCCAGGAUGAGGAAAACGUGCUACACUUUCCUCCACCGUAAAAAUGGCUGGACUUAGGAAAACUAAUGACUAAUAUGUCCACCUCCUAGCAAAUGUUUGGAAUGAACAUGAGAAAUUGCUGCCACAAACAUUCUCGUACAGGUUUUAUGUGAACGGAAGUUGUCCUCUCUCUAGGAUAAAUAUCUAGGAGUACGAUUGCUGAGUUACAAGGGCUGCGUCCGGUCCUUGUGUGCCAUCCUGCCUGGCACAGAACGGAGGUGCUCCAGGUGUAUCUGCUGGACCACCGAGCCAAGGCAGAAUAAACUUCAGGAGGCCCAACUGUGACUACUGCGACUCCCCUUCACAAAAAUGAGGACAUCUCCACCUUCAAACCGUUUCCUACUGGUUAUGGUUCUAGACAUUAUUCUCUAAAUGACCGAAGGCACUGCAACUCAAAGUGUGUUCUAAAGACCAGCAGCGCAGAAAGACCCAGAAGCUUGUCAACAAUGCAGCCUCUCAGGCCCACUACAGACCUGCAGAAUCGGAUGGGGGUUUCUAUAGUCUUCAGUGUAAGAGAUGCACUGUCCUAAGGUUUAGGACAUGUGGGAAGUCACUCAACUGUACCGGUUAAACCAGGAAAGAAGGAACCCAAGAAUAUUAAAAGCACACUAACUACAUCUUAGCAAUCAGAAGAACUAUUAACUAAUUUAGCCUACAUCUGAAAUUUGUCCUGGAAUUUAGCAAGAGCUUGUGAGACUGCAAACACCCAACCAGUCUCUCUCUUCUAGGUCACUCUAAUAAAUGGCUAUGUGAUGAAGGCUGUAAGGUAGUUAUUUGUUCAAUUCCCGCAAACUUAAAACCGUUAAUAAUAAAGUUCUCUUGCACUACAGUCUUCCAGUUUUUAGGCAAAAAGCUCAUUGUUUCCUUAUAAAGAGAGAUCGAAAUGACCAUCCAGUGUUGAUAUAUUUCCUAGAUUAGGGUUGACAGAACUUUCUGCUGUGACGGAAAUGUUCUCUAUCUGUGCUGACCAACAUGGCAGCCACUAACCACAAAUGUCUGUUUAGCACUUGCAGCGUGAGUAUAAUGUUUUAUUUCCUUUUCAUUAAUUUGUAUUUAAAUAGCAAACUGGCUAACGGCUACUACACAGGCCGUGUAACUCAAGACCACUUAAAAAAGCUUUAGCAUCAGCACCUGACAACACACCAAGACAGCACUUCCCAAAAUAAUGCAGUUACUUACGUUUGAGGCUGGGAAGGGUCAUCCCCCAAAGAAACGCUCUCCCCUUGGAUUUCAUUGAAACACUUCUCACAGAAAUGAUACCUGUCGGCAAGAAGGCCAUACUGGGGUGAACUGUUCCGUUCACACAACACAGCCCAAGCCAAGCAACGAAGCCACCAAUCACAGCAGGCCAAGGAGGGGGACGGGAGCAGAGAGCAGGUCAUCAACGGCGACAAGGACAUUCAAUGAUGCAGAUUUAUGGGCCCCACAGUUUGGGUUUUUUUGUUUUUGUUUUUUUGUUUUUGUUUUUUUUUGUUUUUUUUGCAAUCAAAGCCAAGUGCAGACAACGACAAGCAUGAGGGAGAAAAAAAAAACACAAAACAAACGAAGAAAUGAGGGAUUGCAGGACAACAAAAAACAUAAAAGCAAGACAAGACAACACAAAGCAGAAAGCCAAGGCAAAGCACAGAUUAGCAUUAAAUAUCUCAAAUGGGAUCACAAGCAGCAAAUGAUUACAGCAAAUAAAACAAAAAAGUAUCACUUACACAGACCUACAUUCUUUCAUUUUAGUAAUUAAUGCUAUUUGAUGCAAAUAAUCAAAAAGGGGAAGGAUAAACAUACUGGAGAGAGAAGAAUUGCUAAUCUAUUACUGAAACACAGCAAUCACACACUUCUCCCCAUUUCCAAUAACAGCAAAAUAAAUAACAAAAAAUGCACUACGAAUACAAGACCAGGAAGCAAUUACCUAAAAACAACCCUGGGUUGAAAAAAACCCACAAAAUUUCUUUUUGCUUCCCAAGGAAGGCAUAUAAAUUUAAAAAAUUCUCUAUUUUUCAAUGAAAAAUCUGCACAAGUGCUUAAAUAUGGAUCGUAGCCAUCAACUGACAUAGCUUAAAAGGCAAGAAAGAAAGGCAGUGGUGUGUGCAGGCACAUGAUGACAUGUUCUGGAUACAAAGAUUACAAACGCUGUAGAUUCAUGUUAAAAAAUCCAAACUGGUAUAAAUGUCAAGACUGCAGCAUGAGAAGAACUUCAUGCCAGUUGUUAACUUGUUUUUUUAAAAUGCAAGUGCUUUUAACAACUUGAGGGUUUUCCCCAGGUAUUAAGAGUGAAAAACUGGAUUCUAAUGAUUACAACAAACCAUUAGGAGAGCGCACCUUUUUGUCAUCAAAACAAAAAGUUCAAGCGACUUUUUCAAAGCUGGAAAUGCAUCUGUAGCACACAAGUUCCGCAAAAACCACCACCAUGAGCUUGGUUUUAUUAAAAGAUAUUAACUGCCCAGCCUUGUUAUUACCGUUUCAGAGCCCCAAGUAAACAUUCUGUGCAUGUUAUAUUGUAGGCUAAUUAAUGAAUCUAGGAGACAGAUCUUAGUUAAAAUAGAUUACUGAAUGCCAUCUUUGGGAUUACAGCCAUUGUUUGGGCAGGAGAAGAUAAAGCAGGGGCACCUAAUUUAUUACAACUCUACCAUCCACUGUCAUAUGCAAGUCUUUUUUUAAGUAAGUCUGGUACAGACCUAUUUUUGGAGGUACUCCUUUUUAUAUGGUUAACCCGGGCAAAGCAGAAACUCUGAAAUCCUGUUUUCAAAUGCUCUGAGAAGAACAAUUUAUGGAGAGGCUGCACACAAAAAUGAAACAUAUCCCAAAUGAUACAGCUGGCUAACAAACUUUUGGUUAAAAGUUUGUGGAUAGUUUUUGGGAAAGGUGAUAGCAGCAGUUUCAUGGACAAGAAAACACUAAUUCGUUCACAAAUUUUCUCAGUUUGCCUCAGGCUGUGGUAAGCUGUGAACAGAAAUGGGAAAGAGAUGCGGGGGCCACGAUGUAAUCCCAUCUAUGCCACCAACUCUUUGAGCUGUUUAACCUCCCAAGGCUUUGAGUUCCUGCCUUAUAAAAAAUAAGGGGCCAGAUAACUGACAGAAGGCUACUUCCUGCUAGAAAACUACACUAAUCCUGCAAAAAAGGCAGAAUGCUAGGACCAGAACUUGUGCUGUACAGCUGUUUUCAAGCAAGGUACACAUGACCAUGAAUGUAUGUGUGCUGGUCCAUCCGCAUGCAGUCCCUGGACACACGGAUACACGGACCAUGGUCCACACAUAGUUGAGCUUACCUGUUCUGGUAACUGUAGUAAGUGGCAUCACGAGGGAUUGUGCAUAACUGUUUGCCAUAGCAACAGAGUGUCUGUGGAGAGAACUCCAACUGCAACAGAAACCAUUUGUUAAAUAGUACACACACCUGCAAGACAAGCUAGAAUAUUUACACUGGCAAAUCAGAAACAAAAGUCAGUGAAUUCUUAGUUCUCGUUUAUGCAGUUAACGAGCGAUUUCAGUUUCCAAGGCAAUACACAGAACCACAACCAUUCUAGUUGACUAUACUAUAGCAGUCCCACUGAUCCACAGGCAGAGACCAUUAGUAGAUGCCUAAGAUUGUGGACCGCACCAAACCCUAUACAUACUGUGGUUUUCCCUAUACGUACGUAACUAUGACAGAGUUAACUUACAAAUUAGGCACAGUGAGAGAUUAAUAACUAGUAAUAAAAUAGAACAAUUACAAUAGCAUACUGUAAUAAAAGUUACGUGAUUGUGGGCUCUCUCAAUAUCUUACUGCACUGUACCCACCCUUCUUGUGAUGACAGAAGAUAUAAUGCCUAGGUGAUGAGAUGAAGGGACAUGAACGAUGGAGGCACUGUGAUGUAGCAUAAACGAUAUUGACCUUUUGACAAUACGUCAGAAGAUGAAUCUCUGCUUCUGGACCAUGGUUGACUGAGAUGGCGGGAAGUGAAACCACAGGUAAGGAGAGACUACGGUACAGUAUUAUGUCACCACUCCGAGGUAGGCUUAGCAGUCAUAUCCUUCAGCCACUUAGCAAAAAAACUCAAUGGGACAAGAGGAGCUACAUGUGAACUGGUGUGCAACAAAACAACAGUACGUGCCAGGCACUGUGCACCCAUAGAUAAGUAAGAUCCAAAGCCCUAUUAUGAGUUUACAAUCUGAUGAUUCAGGAUUCUAUUAGUCAAGUUUUCAAUAAUUCUUACCAUGCAAAAAUUUCUUACCUUUCUGCCACAACAAUAUCCAAGGCUUUGCAUUACUGGGUCAAUUUCUUGUUCAAAGACCUCAGACAGCUUGGAGCAGUAUUUGU